RNAcentral lists this ribosomal RNA (1272 nucleotides) under Francisella noatunensis subsp. noatunensis. RNAcentral describes it as "bacterial SSU rRNA". It matches the Rfam family "Bacterial small subunit ribosomal RNA", at positions 133 to 1403 of the family's 1533-position model. The record is from RNAcentral. Lineage: Bacteria; Pseudomonadati; Pseudomonadota; Gammaproteobacteria; Thiotrichales; Francisellaceae.
UCUGUGGGGGAUACCAGUUGGAAACGACUGUUAAUACCGCAUAAUAUCUGCGGAUUAAAGGUGGCCUUUGUGCUGCCGCAGAUGGAUGAGCCUGCGUUGGAUUAGCUAGUUGGUAGGGUAAGGGCCUACCAAGGCUACGAUCCAUAGCUGAUUUGAGAGGAUGAUCAGCCACAUUGGGACUGAGACACGGCCCAAACUCCUACGGGAGGCAGCAGUGGGGAAUAUUGGACAAUGGGGGAAACCCUGAUCCAGCAAUGCCAUGUGUGUGAAGAAGGCUCUAGGGUUGUAAAGCACUUUAGUUGGGGAGGAAAGCCUAUAAGUUAAUAGCUUGUAGGAAGGACGUUACCCAAAGAAUAAGGACCGGCUAACUCCGUGCCAGCAGCCGCGGUAAUACGGGGGGUCCGAGCGUUAAUCGGAAUUACUGGGCGUAAAGGGUCUGUAGGUGGUUUGUUAAGUCAGAUGUGAAAGCCCAGGGCUCAACCUUGGAACUGCAUUUGAUACUGGCAAACUAGAGUAUGGUAGAGGAAUGGGGAAUUUCUGGUGUAGCGGUGAAAUGCGUAGAGAUCAGAAGGAACACCAAUGGCGAAGGCAACAUUCUGGAUCAAUACUGACACUGAGGGACGAAAGCGUGGGGAUCAAACAGGAUUAGAUACCCUGGUAGUCCACGCUGUAAACGAUGAGUACUAGCUGUUGGAUUCGGUGUAAAGGAUCUAGUGGCGCAGCUAACGCGUUAAGUACUCCGCCUGGGGACUACGGCCGCAAGGCUAAAACUCAAAGGAAUUGACGGGGACCCGCACAAGCGGUGGAGCAUGUGGUUUAAUUCGAUGCAACGCGAAGAACCUUACCUGGUCUUGACAUCCUGCGAACUUUCUAGAGAUAGAUUGGUGCCUUCGGGAACGCAGUGACAGGUGCUGCACGGCUGUCGUCAGCUCGUGUUGUGAAAUGUUGGGUUAAGUCCCGCAACGAGCGCAACCCCUAUUGAUAGUUACCAUCAUUAAGUUGGGUACUCUAUUGAGACUGCCGCUGACAAGGCGGAGGAAGGUGGGGACGACGUCAAGUCAUCAUGGCCCUUACGACCAGGGCUACACACGUGCUACAAUGGGUAUUACAGAGGGCUGCGAAGGUGCGAGCUGGAGCGAAACUCAGAAAGGUACUCUUAGUCCGGAUUGCAGUCUGCAACUCGACUGCAUGAAGUCGGAAUCGCUAGUAAUCGCAGGUCAGAAUACUGCGGUGAAUACGUUCCCGGGUCUUGUACACACCGCCCGUCACACC